RNAcentral lists this long non-coding RNA (202 nucleotides) under Volvox carteri. RNAcentral's name for it is "long non-coding RNA (VCAR_LNC001045)". Lineage: Eukaryota; Viridiplantae; Chlorophyta; Chlorophyceae; Chlamydomonadales; Volvocaceae. The record is from RNAcentral.
ACAACUGCAUCAAUCAGCGACUCAGAUGCUGACCAGCUUGAUUCUGACGAGGAAGGGCCACCGCCCCAAGAUGUCGCCACGGCACCACCGCCACCUUCAAGGGCGGGUGCUUCGCAGCACGCGCCGCUGGUGAUUCAAAAGCAGGCGCGGCGCCAGCAAACACAGCGUGUGCUGAAAGGCCAAAGCGAUGGGAGCUGGCGGG